AGAGUUUGAUCCUGGCUCAGGACGAACGCUGGCGGCGUGCUUAACGCAUGCAAGUCGAACGGAGUUUAAGAGGAAGCUUGCGAAUCUUAAACUUAGUGGCGGACGGGUGAGUAACGCGUGGAUAACCUGCCUACAUGCCUGGGACAACACCGGGAAACUGGUGCUAAUACCGGAUACGCUCUUGGAUGCACAUGCAUUCAAGAGGAAAGGAGCAAUCCGCAUAUAGAUGGGUCCGCGUCCCAUUAGCUAGUUGGGGGUGUAAGAGACCACCAAGGCGACGAUGGGUAGCCGGCCUGAGAGGGUGGACGGCCACACUGGAACUGAGACACGGUCCAGACUCCUACGGGAGGCAGCAGUGGGGAAUCUUCCGCAAUGGGCGAAAGCCUGACGGAGCAACGCCGCGUGAGUGAAGAAGGCCUUCGGGUCGUAAAACUCUGUCUUCAGGGAAGAAAAAAAUGACGGUACCUGAGGAGGAAGCCCCGGCUAACUACGUGCCAGCAGCCGCGGUAAAACGUAGGGGGCGAGCGUUGUCCGGAAUUACUGGGCGUAAAGGGCGCGUAGGCGGUUAUUUAAGUCAGAGGUGAAAACUACCGGCUCAACCGGUAGCCUGCCUUUGAAACUGGAUGACUUGAGGGCAGGAGAGGGGAGUGGAAUUCCCAGUGUAGCGGUGAAAUGCGUAGAUAUUGGGAGGAACACCAGUGGCGAAGGCGGCUCUCUGGCCUGUUUCUGACGCUGAGGCGCGAAAGCGUGGGGAGCAAACGGGAUUAGAUACCCCGGUAGUCCACGCCGUAAACGAUGGGUGCUAGGUGUAGGAGGUAUCGACCCCUUCUGUGCCGUAGUUAACACAAUAAGCACCCCGCCUGGGGAGUACGGCCGCAAGGUUGAAACUCAAAUGAAUUGACGG
Molecule: ribosomal RNA, 904 nt
Filed under: uncultured bacterium
Lineage: Bacteria
Description: bacterial SSU rRNA
Rfam family: Bacterial small subunit ribosomal RNA
Source: RNAcentral